GUGGGGGAUAUUGCACAAUGGAGGAAACUCUGAUGCAGCGACGCCGCGUGAGGGAAGAAGGUCUUCGGAUUGUAAACCUCUGUCUUCAGGGACGAAACAAAUGACGGUACCUGAGGAGGAAGCCACGGCUAACUACGUGCCAGCAGCCGCGGUAAUACGUAGGUGGCAAGCGUUGUCCGGAAUUACUGGGUGUAAAGGGAGCGCAGGCGGGGAAGCAAGUUGGGAGUGAAAUCUAUGGGCUUAACCCAUAAAUUGCUUUCAAAACUGUUUUUCUUGAGUAGUGCAGAGGUAGGCGGAAUUCCCGGUGUAGCGGUGGAAUGCGUAGAUAUCGGGAGGAACACCAGUGGCGAAGGCGGCCUACUGGGCACCAACUGACGCUGAGGCUCGAAAGUAUGGGUAGCAAACAGGAUUAGAAACCCCUGUAGUCC
RNAcentral lists this ribosomal RNA (428 nucleotides) under uncultured bacterium. RNAcentral's name for it is "partial 16S ribosomal RNA". It matches the Rfam family "Bacterial small subunit ribosomal RNA", at positions 354 to 796 of the family's 1533-position model. The record is from RNAcentral.